CACGCGCGUUAGUUAUGCGGUAAUCACGCUACGGUAACGAGCCACGGUGUAACGCGGCUGUUCUGUUCCGGUUUAAACGGAGAAAUAUUCGUGGAUUUCCCGUCGAAACAGCCGUUAAUCCGCUCUCUGUAACGUUAAGCGGGUAACGCGUUACCGCCGAGCACGAGCUCCCUGCUGCUGCUGCCCACUCAAAAUGUCUGUGACCGACCUCCGCGCGCCCCACGGUCACGCCACCGAGCAGGCUCGCGAGGAAAUAUAGAUUAAAAAAAGAGCUCUUAAAAACACGUUAAAUGUAGUUUUAAGCUCAUUUAACUGAGUUUAGUUGGAUAAAACGCCGGUACAUGAGGUUUAACGUCGAAGUUUAAGCCGUUGGCGACUUAAGAUGUCCGCUCGCGGAGAGAGACGAAGCUCCAACCGUCGUCGUUGUUGUUGUUGUUGAGGUUUAACACGCAGUGUUUUUCCGGGACGAAAGCCCGCGGGGAGCUCCGAAAACACCCCGGUACACAAACUAACUAUCCGCAGUUAUAUUUAUCAUUUCUCAUAUUUUCCGUUAAACUCCGGUUCCUCCGAGCGGCUGAUUAAAAGUUAAACUCGCGCAUUAGUCCGUGAAGAUGAACGCGGCAUAGCGAAACUGUUUUGGUGAGAUAAGCGUCCCGGUGAGAUAAGGACCGGGACACCGAGCCAGCAGAGGGGUUCAGGUGGCGGAGCCUCCCCGAGAGAAGGGAUUUCACCGGAGAGGAGGAGGAGGGGGCGGGCGGAGAUGCUUCCACGUCCAUCUGGGACCGCGGGUAUUAUCAGUCCGACGCGCGGCGGUAGUUCAUCAAACUAUAACCUGAUCGAUAAACGCUUUAACGGACCGAAUGUCCGACGGCCAACCUGCCGUUUAUAGAGUUCUCGGUAUGCGGAGCCCGUGUGGUGAACCACGGGGAGCAGCCAGCCGGGCUCCUCCGGUCGCACAUCACCUCCCGGGCUAUUUCAGGCAACAAUUAAAAUGUUAUUAGAAUCAAAGCCGCUCACCUCCGACGGGCUCCGGUUCCGCAGCUCUAAAGUGAUCCUCUUCUUCAUGUCCAUUUUGAAAUACUUGGUCGGUGGCGGUUUAACGGGCAGCGGGCGGUGAACAGUUGAGAAACUCCCGGGGACCGGAGCGGCAGCUGCUCUCCUCUGAUAGCCACAGUUUGCCUACUGAUCCUCCAUGAUACCUCGCGCCCUGCCCCCUCCCCUGCCGUCCCGCCCCCCGCUGCACACGGUUGGUCGCGUGCCUCUCCGCCGCCGCUGAUUGGACGGUGGGCACGUCAAUCAGGACUGAUCGGCCAUAAUCCGCGAGCUGGGCGGUUAUAGCUCCCAAAGCCUGUGGCGGCAGCCUGGAAAGGCCUCAUGGGAGAUGUAGUUGUCAAAUAUCAUGUUAACACAAGUUAAUAAUUUUUAUUUAUUACAAUGACCUCCCGUCUGUGUAAGUCUGCGAGACGCCACUGUCCAAAAUUGAUUUUGCUUUAAUCUGUCAAUUUUCAGAUUUUAAUUUUAAUUUAUUAACUAUUACCUCCAUACUUUGAUAAAAUGUACAGAAAAAUCUUUAAUAAUACAUAUAAACAUUAUAAUUUGUUUGACCUGCCUUUCUAAAACGCUCCACAUUGAAUCAUGUAUUAUUUGAAAGUUUGUUUUCUAGAGCACGUUAGCUAGUCCAGAUCUAUAAGAGAUGUGCUAAUGUGACAUUUUUAACUGUGUUUCUAUCAUUAGCUAAUCUUUAACAGCCGUUUUCUCAAAAUGACACAUUUCCUGUACGCCAAGUCAUUUUCUUCACCCUUCAAGGCCGUUAAAUCAUAAUAGUUUUAUACGCUGCUUCUGAGGUCUUAUAGCGAGACAUUUACAGAUUAAUCUCAUUUUAUGUUGCAUUUUAUCUGUGAAUAUGUGGGAAAAACGGGUCCAUCACACAUAUAGGUAUAUUUUGAAAUUCCAUGAAAAAACAAUAUUUAGAUAAACUGUUGUGUAUAUUAUCACAAUAAAAUCAAAAAUCAGUCUCUCAAUCAAUGCGCUGGAAAAUGGAUUUGUGUGAUGUGCAAAUCAGCGCACGUUUAAUGAGGAAAAGCCUAAUUUGCAUAUUUAAAAAAAGCUAUUUAUGUUUACUUUCAGCUUAUAAAGUUUCAUUGUGAUGCAAGUAAAGUUGUGAAAAAACAUCUUAAAGGUCACGUCUGUUAAAAAAUACACUGAAGCUACUGCGACAUAAGCUAGCUGGGGAGCUAGCAAGCUAACGCUCCUCUGUUGCUUGUCGUCACACUUGGGUUCCGUUAACAACACAUCAAUCAAACCUGAUCAGUUAUGACCGUCAUUUUUCUUUAAAUAAAAUAAGACUGCAAAAAAGUGAUAAACUGAAUUUGUCACUAAUGAAGUUAAAGAAAUUGUGUAUUAGCUUAUUAACAUUAUGAUAAACACUAUGUAAGGAAAAUAAUCUCGCAUGGUCCAUUGAGGCAGCAGCUCUGGAGCUUUCAGUCGUAAGCAGAUGUCCAGCUAUCAUGACUGCUGCUGAGGAAGAUCAUGGGAUGUGAUCAAAAGCUCCAGAACAGUAAAUAAACGUGGAACGAUUGUUUCGUCAGCCUCUGUUUCAAAGGUCAAGAAUUAACUUUCAAUCCAGUAUUUCAAAUGUUUGACCAAAAAAAACCUUCUCAACUCAAGGUCCACUUACUAGGAUUUUACACCCAGAAACUUCCUCAGUGGAUGCAGUCUGCUCAGAAGUUUCUGUAUGGUUAGUCCAUUCGUUAAGAAAGGCUGCACGAUGUUGAAAGCUCUGGAAGUGACUGUCAACAAUCAGAUUAUAAACUGCCAAACACCGUGACAUUAUUUAUAUUUUUAUUCUCGUAAAUGUUGGUUUAAAGUCCGUUUUAACAGAAGUUGCUUCCUGAGCUUGUGAAUUUUGCUUUAUCACAUUUAUUCAAUUGUUUCAUCUCACGUCACAACAAGGUUUAUGGUCUUGUCUUGAUACACUGGUCUUGGUCUUGACUUGGUCUCGGUUUGGGUGGUCUUGACCACAACAACUAGAGGGAGGUGGACAAGCUUAAGACACAAAACAUCGGUUCUGGUCUUGACUCUGUCUCGAUAAACUCUGGUCUUGACUACAACACUAGGUUCUGGUCUUGACUCAGUCUGGCGUCACGUUUAUCCUGUAAUAACAGAGACAUAUUGUUGCACCAAAGGCUGAUGUGUUAUUCGUCAGAGCCAAAGAGCUGCAGGGUUUAAAACACGCCAAGGUGUGUUCGUAGCAGUCAGUUCAACACCUGAACGCCUCGUGACGAGUUCAGAUGUCCCCGUGUGAAAGCAUCAAAAGCACAACAAGAAGCUCUUAGUCAAAAAAACAAGUGUUUAUAUUUCAGAUUACCAAUGCAGGUAGGCAGCCAUCAUCAUCAUCAUCAUCAUCACUGUGAAGCAUUCAGGUACAGUUAAAAAAAUACAACUUUAUAUGUACAUAGAAAAAGGUUGGUUUCGCUGAGCUUAUAAAAAUAACUAUCCUACUCAACUGAAAAGAUGCAGAAUCACCGAUCAGAGGACAGAAGGGCACGGCGGGCUGCUGAGAGGGCACAGGUGGGUCUAUCAGCUGACAGGUAGGAAUCAAUAACUGCUUUUGCACCGUGAGACCCAACAGGGCUGAACCAGGACAGGAAGACAACUAAAAACCCUGAACCAGGCCAGCGUUUUAAAGUUUGUCUUUCUGAGCAUUUUACAAAAUGUCCAACAGAUCACAGCAGGGUUUUUUUUUUUUUUUUUUGGAUAAAGUUAAAUUAUAAUGCAAAGAUAAAGUACUGAAUUUGAAAAGCUUUCCGUUUCGUACUAAUGCAGUGGUGGAGACUCUGGAGCUACGUUCACUUCAACUGGAGAGCGUUUCCUGUUCAGGUGAGAUCUCAUGCCGCUCACCUUUGUUCCAAUUUCGACCCCGAGGAUGUCAAACUGAUCAUCUGUGUCAUUAUUCUACCGAGGACCAUCCAAGGCCGGAUCAACACCUGGGCAAAGCCAGCAGCUGCCGUGUGACUCCGGACAUGUACAAGUCCCAGGACUGCAUGGCAGUGGGUUUUGGAGCUGACCUCCGUCGUCUCUCCCCCCGACUCCACCAGGGUCACCUGACCCUCCUCCCCCUCCAUGAUGAUCCCUCCCUCCUGCAGCACCACCAUCUCGCCCUCCUCCUCCACCAUGCCGGCCGCUGCCUCCUCCUCAUCCUCCUCCCCUCCCACCACCUCCUCAGGGCUGGCGGCGUUGGCGGCGGUGUUUGUGUUGGUGCUGUUGGCCUGACUUUGGGACAUGGCCUCCAGUUUGAUGCGGUACUCUUCGGCCUCCUGCUCCUUACGCAUCAGCUGCUGCCGGUACUCCUGUGCCUUCCUGUUGGCUUCCAGCAGCUGCCUCUGCAACAACUCCUGCAGAAGAAGAAGAAGUCGGCAAUCAAUCAAAUAUUCAGCAGACUCAUUCCCAUCAGUUCUGGAUCAAUUAGUUCAUAUGAGAACAAUAAACUCAGUGGUCACUUUAUUGGCCACGAUCAUUAAAUCAAUCAAUGUGCAUGAAAGCUAA
This is a long non-coding RNA of Micropterus dolomieu (smallmouth bass), 4545 nucleotides long. RefSeq lists it as uncharacterized. The transcript has 3 exons. Lineage: Eukaryota; Metazoa; Chordata; Actinopteri; Centrarchiformes; Centrarchidae. The record is from RefSeq and is a predicted model, not a curated record.